GUUUCUGUAGUGUAGUGGUUAUCACGUUUCGGCUCGCGAAAGGUCCCCGGUUCGAAACCGGGCAGAAACA
This is a non-coding RNA of Merluccius polli (Benguela hake), 70 nucleotides long. The record is from the annotation of a GenBank genome assembly. NCBI's taxonomy places the organism in Eukaryota, Metazoa, Chordata, Actinopteri, Gadiformes, Merlucciidae.